RNAcentral lists this long non-coding RNA (1392 nucleotides) under Astyanax mexicanus (Mexican tetra). RNAcentral's name for it is "lncRNA (ENSAMXG00005011774.1)". Lineage: Eukaryota; Metazoa; Chordata; Actinopteri; Characiformes; Acestrorhamphidae. The record is from RNAcentral.
CUGUCUGUUGUUUUUGUACUUGAAGUUGUUCUUGCAUCCGAAGUUCUAGAUUUUGAUGUUGUUCUUACAUUUGGAGUUACAGAUUCAUUUGAUGUUUCAGCUGACGUUUCAGAUUCAACUGACGUUUCUUCUGAACUUCCAGAUUCUAUUGAUGGGCUUUCAUUUGAUGACCAAGAUUCUGCUGAUGUUCUUCCCUUUGAUGGUCUAGAAUCUGCGGUUGUCCUUCCCUUUGAAGUUACAGAAACUGCUGUUGUUUUUCCUUUUGAAGUUCUCGAUUUUGAUGUUGUUCUUUCUUUUGUAGUUACAGAUUCAUUUGAUGUCUCAGAGGAAGUUUCAGAUUCAAAUGAUGUUUCUUUUGAACUUCCAGAUUCUGCUGUUGGGCUUUCAUUUGAUGACCAAGACUUUGCUGAUGUUCUUCCCUUUGAUGGUCUAGAAUCUGUGGUUGUUCUUCCCUUUGAAGUUACAGAAACUGUUGUUGUUUUUCCUUUUGAAGUUCUCAAUGUUGACGUUGUUUCUUUUGUAGUUACAGAUUCAUUUGAUGUUUCAGCUGAAGUUUCAGAUUCAAGUGAUUCAACAGAUUCUGCUGUUUGGCUUUCAUUUGAUGACCAAGAUUCUGUGGCUGUUCUUCCCUUUGAUGUUCUAGAAUCUGCUGUUGCUCUUCCCUUUGAAGUUUCAGAAUCUGUUGUUGUUCUUUCUUUUGUAGUUACAUCUUCUGUUGAUGUUUCAGAUGCAGUUCCAGAAUCAGCUGUGUUUCCUUUUGAAGUUUUAGAUUCUUUUGUUGUUCUUUCUUUUGUAGUUAAAGGUUUUGUUGUUGUUUCAGAUGAAGCUCCAGAAUCAACUGUUGUUCGGCCCUUUGAAGUUGGAGAAUUUGCUGUUGUUCUGCCCUUUGAAGUUGCGAAAUCUGUUGUUCUUUCAUUUGAUGUCCUAGGUAUUAAUGUUGUUUUACCUUUUGAAGUUACCAUUUCGUUUGAUGUUUCAGAUGAAGCUUCAGAUUCAAGUGACGUUGUAUCUUCUGAAAUUCCAGAUUCUGCUGUUGUGCUUUCAGCUGAUGACCCAGAUUUUGAUGUUCUUCCCUUUGAAGUUACAGAAACUGCUGUUGUUUUUCCUUUUGAAGUUCUCAAUUUUGAUGUUGUUCGUUCUUUUGUAGUUACAGAUUCAUUUGAUGUGUCAGAGGAAGUUUCAGAUUCAACUGAUGUUUCUUUUGAACUACCAGAUUCUGCUGUUGGGCUUUCAUUUGAUGACCAAGACUUUGCUGAUGUUCUUCCCUUUGAUGUUCUAGAAUCUGCUGUUGUUUGUCCCUUUGAAGUUUCAGAAUCUGUUGUUGUUCUUUCUUUUGAAGUAACAGUUUUUUUUGUUGUUCCAGAUGAAGCUCCAGAAUCAGCUGUUGUUUGA